RNAcentral lists this unclassified non-coding RNA (302 nucleotides) under rhizosphere metagenome. RNAcentral's name for it is "partial ribosomal RNA internal transcribed spacer region". The record is from RNAcentral.
GUUGGUGAACCAGCGGAUGGAUCAUUACCUGAAAAUGCCAAAAGCAAUUUUGGUUGGGCUGACGCUAGUUAGCCUCUGGCUUUGGUUGGUUAAUCAGCCUGCCAGUACUUGUAGUGUGCAAAAGAUGAGAAGUUGGUGUUAAGGCCAACGAGGAGUCGCACGCUUGAUGAGUGAAGGGGUUGUUGGAACGGACGACACUAGUCCAGGCGAGAUGCCUCCUCUACCCCUGAGACUGCCAUUGACUUGACUGAAGCGAUUGUCUCUAAAGAUGACAACUGCUGGCCGUGGAUCACUUGGCUGAC